Sphaeramia orbicularis (orbiculate cardinalfish) is the source of this 922-nucleotide long non-coding RNA. RefSeq lists it as uncharacterized. The record is from RefSeq and is a predicted model, not a curated record. NCBI's taxonomy places the organism in Eukaryota, Metazoa, Chordata, Actinopteri, Kurtiformes, Apogonidae. The transcript is spliced from 2 exons.
UUUUUUUAAGAACAAAACAAAGACUCAGAAACAAAGACCUAUCCCAGAUCAGACAUCCUGUAGCCUGUCUUCUCUCUUUGAACUCCAGGGAUGCUCCUCUUCUGACGGUUCUUUUUUGGGUCUGUAUGUUUCACAUAAAAGCCAGCGAGUACAGUACAGAUGUGUGGAUGUGCUGCUUUCACAGCGCAACAACCUCAAAUCAUUAGAUCACAUAUAAAAGGAGUAUUAUAGCAAAGACUGGUUCUAAUCUGCACAAAUCCUCCGGUCAGUUUAGCGGUCAGCAGUUGAAUGCUGUUUCAGGAGCAGCUGUGUCGUGCCGAGGCUCUGAUGUGGUUUAUUUCUGUCCGACGCACGGCAGCACACGCAACAACGGGAACAUUUCAGAUGGGCAGUGUUACAUCUGUCCCAAGGGUUAAUUUACCUUCCUUUCGUGGUCGUUUUUCAUGAAUUCCUAUGCCUCUACCAUAAUAGCAGUAGUACGGUUCCUAUUGUCCUGAUUUAAUUGCUUUUACUUCAGCUACCGAAGUUAAUACAGUUGAGUGGACUUAUGCAUGACAUUGAUGAAAUAUGUGUCUGUGUUUUCUGGUGGAAACACAAGUGCUGUUUAGAGCGGCAUCGAUCAGCUGUAGACGCGGCUGUACCCGCUGGAGUGUAGGGGUUAAUGCGUGGAGGGUCAACUGGGAAAUACAGCAUCUAACAGUAAUACAAUGGAAAACCUGCUGGAAAGUUGGAAAAAAAUGUGAAACAAAACUUAUUUACACAUAAUAUUGAGAAUUUGAAACGUUAAAAGAAUGACAGAUAAAGUGUCAAAUUAUAUUUUAUACCCAAAAAUGCAUCAGCUUUCAGAGAAAUGUGCAAUACUCAGUAUAUUGGAAUAGGAUUGAAUGAUAUGGCCAAAAAACAUUAAAGGUUCAGUACGUAC